AUGCCUUGCACGCCAGGAGGGUUCUGCAGAGGCCACUGGUGCUGUGGGGAGCCAGCACCAGGAGCAGCCGGAAGACACCGUCGCGGCCCCUCACUCGGGGGUUGGGGCACAGGGGUGGGGUCACUGCCCAGGCGCCCCCUACCCGACUCAUCACCAGGGCCACCCACCCCCACCUUUUCCUACAUCUGCUGGAAGGCAUCACGGAAGACAUCCCCCCGGAGCAGGGCCAGGAUGGCACCAGCCGUGGCCAGCAGGAAGGGCGGCAGCCCCUGCAGCCCACCUGGGAAGCCACAACAUACAAGAAGCCCCCAGGCCUGGCUGAUGCAGAGUGUGGUGCUGGCGGCCUCAGCCCUGGCCCUUGCGGACACCCUCAGAGUGUCCAAGAAGACGAGCGGCCACCUAGCUGGCGCAUCAGGCCAGCUGGGCUGGGUCACUGGUCCCUGUGGCUGCAGUCCCCAUGGCCUCAGGGACACAGCGGCAAAGGGAAACGUCCCCGGCCACCGGCCGGACCUGGCCAGUUCUGGGGGGCAGGAAGGGGCCCCCUCGUCUCCUUGAGCCUGGGGCCCAGCUGCAGGCAUGCAGCCACCCCCGGCAAGUGCCACCCGGCAAAGCGGGAAACCGAGGCCCUGGAAGCUGCUCGCAGGGCAGUGGCUGAGCGAGAAUGUUGCCCCGGGGGGUGCCUGACACCGGAACCGUCCCCACACUCCUCUCUCAAAGCCGAGAGACCUGACUCUUACGUGGGCUCUGGUCAGUCAUCGGACCUCUCUGGCCCUCGGUUUCCUUCUCUGUAAAAAGGUAAAAAGCCAUGUGCAGUGGGUCUUCAUUCACAGAAUGAAUAUUCUGCUCUGGACUGGCGUCAGGGCGGAAACAGGGGCUCAGGGAGAAAGGGGCUGACCUCUCAGAGUCAGGAAGGCCGCCAGCCGACGAAGGCUUCCUGGAAGAGGCCACCUGGUGCAGAGACCCGUGGCAGGUCUGCUCCAGGCUCCAGGCCAGCCUAGUCUGGUUCUUUUUGUUAUCUUGCCCACACUGGGGAACAGGUGUUUUGAGAAACCGGACCGGAGACAGCCUACUGAACUCGGGGCACGGACCCUGCCGUGCCAGGACGUGGGUCCUGCCGGGGAACCUGGCCGCCCACCCUUGGACUCAUGGAGCUGAUCAGAUUAGACGGAAGUGCGUCCACACCAGCGAUCAAACCAGGAGUGACCGUUCAUCCGACUCCUUAGCCGUGACUGGAUGCCUUCCCUGAUGAGGAACAGAUUUAGUCCUGUGAACGGGAGAAAAAAGGCCUUUUCUUUUUGUGCAGAAUAAGCAGCCCCACAUUUGUUUUGUUCACCCAGAGAGUGACAAGGCCAGCAAUAGCCUGGGGGCAACGCCUGACAGAGAGGAAGGACAAACGGAGGUCGUGCAUGAGGAAGGAGAAGCCAGCUGCACGCCUGAGCGCUACUUGCAAAACGCGGAGCUGAGCCGCGCUGGGAGGAGACCGGAAAGGAAGGCGCAUCCAAGGUUGCCAGGGUGGGGGGUGGGAGCUUCGUUCCAGGUGUCCGCCGUCGGGCCGUCCCUCACAUGGUCACCAACACCUGUUACCCCCCACCUUUCUAAUUUUGUCCGUCUCCUUGCUUGAUUUGGAAUCUCUGUGGUCACAGGGGCUCCCGUUCUCCCCCGUUCUAGGUACUCACUGAGCCUCGGGCACUUCUAGGCUUCGGCUGUCCCUCUCCUUGUUUGACGCCUGCCUGCUAACUGCCAAUUGUUUGUGGAACAGGAAUCCUUCAUUCUGGUGAAGUCAGACUCACCCACAAUCAGCAGGUAGUUUCUGUUUGGGUCUUGGCAUCUUUCGCGACUCCUCGGUCCAGGUCCUUCUAUGUGCCUAGAGUGUUCUCUGCCGUACGCAAGUCUUACUGAAUUUGGUAUCCAGCUUGUCUGCGAUGCGGGCAAGGGGCCUCAUUUCCCUGCCCCACCUGUCCCACGGACUGUCCCUUUCCCCGCCAUUGCUGGUAGCAGUCCUUGCGUGCACACGGGGGCAUUUUGCGUCGUCUCGUGCCUGCCCCCGCUGUCUGUUCCUAACUUCAUUACGCGUGGCUUUGUCUUAGUAUCCAGGAGCUUGUCUCUUCUUACGUCACGGAUAUUUUUUCUCUUUAUUUUAAAAAUAAAAUCGUUACAUUCCUG
Long non-coding RNA from Lynx canadensis (Canada lynx), 2163 nucleotides. The record is from Ensembl. Lineage: Eukaryota; Metazoa; Chordata; Mammalia; Carnivora; Felidae.